AGUGAACGCUGGCGGUAGGCCUAACACAUGCAAGUCGAACGGCAGCACAGUAAGAGCUUGCUCUUACGGGUGGCGAGUGGCGGACGGGUGGGGAAUACAUCGGAAUCUACUUUUUCGUGGGGGCUAACGUAGGGAAACUUACGCUAAUACCGCAUACGACCUACGGGUGAAAGCAGGAGAUCUUCGGACCUUGCGCGAUUGAAUGCGCCGGUGUCGGAUUAGCUAGUUGGCGGGGUAACGGCCCACCAAGGCGACGAUCCGUAGGUGGUCUGAGAGGAUGAUCCCCGACAGUGGUACUGAGACACGGACCAGAAUCCUACGGGAGGCAGCAGUGAGGAAUAUUGGACAAGGGGUUAGCGCCUGAUCCAGCCAUCCCGCGUGAAGGACGACGGCCCUAUGGGUUGUAAACUUCUUUUGUAUAGGGAUAAACCUACUAUCGUGAGAGUAGCUGAAGGUACUAUACGAAUAAGCACCGGCUAACUCCGUG
RNAcentral lists this ribosomal RNA (487 nucleotides) under uncultured bacterium. Its description in RNAcentral is "partial 16S ribosomal RNA". It matches the Rfam family "Bacterial small subunit ribosomal RNA", at positions 29 to 507 of the family's 1533-position model. The record is from RNAcentral.